Long non-coding RNA from Anopheles bellator, 1878 nucleotides. RefSeq lists it as uncharacterized. The transcript is spliced from 3 exons. Lineage: Eukaryota; Metazoa; Arthropoda; Insecta; Diptera; Culicidae. The record is from RefSeq and is a predicted model, not a curated record.
UCAGACUCACAAUCGGCCUCCGAAUUAAAGUGCGCAUGUCGCGGGGCAGACUUACGAGAACCUCGGAUUAAGUUGUACGGGAGCUGGAGUAAACCAACGCCAGCCCAGACAUGGAGGACGGAGUCGCUUCCGACCACGGCGAUCGAGCUCACCUCAGGAGAUCGAGAUCCCGCAGCCCCGGCCUUCCGGCCCGACCCCGGGUUUCUAGUUUUCUUCGUGGUCCGUCAUUCUCUACCAGCGCGUCCAGAAGCGGCCUCGGGUCCGGUUUAGCCUAAGCCGGGGACAGAGAUCGGAUGAUUGAUGAUUGUAUCACUUCCAGCACAAAUCAAACGGUACGACCCCCAUCUAAUGGGCUAAUAAAUUAAAUAUCAGCGCGCGCGGCACACACACCGCACCACUCCACACGAAUCCGGCACGCCGGGAAUGAAAGCCGGGUCGGGUUUGCAAUCAAUCAGAAGUGUAUAAGUCACACGGGCUGUCAGUAUAUCAUGCUACCUAUACCCGGGACACCCGGGCCCGGCACGCCCGGUAGCCGCAAUAAGGUCUGGAAAGUAACGAAAAACAAAAACAAACAAAAUUAACGACCACAAAUAAUGAUGCACGCUCGAAGACAGUUUCGGUUUCAGGCUUCGUUAGACACACCACCACCAGAGAGAGAGCCGCGUCUUUUGCCUCCGUGGAGCGGAUUACGGCGAACUGACGUCUUCGAUUAGGCCGGUGCAUAUAAUACGGCGGAUCGUUCUCUCCGGCAUAGGUCCCCUGGUCCCCGCUGGUAGGUAGAAGCGAUGGACCUGAGAUAAGCGGCGUACCGUAUGUUCCGGCUGAUGGCUGGGAAUUACAAAAAGGCAACAAAAAGAAAAAAAAGGAGAAACCGCGAUGAGACGAGAGCGCUGUAUCAUAUUGUGAAAGUUCAAUGGGGUAUCGAAAACGAGGAAGAUGGAAGAUCAAACUUUCAAAUGAUAAAACACACACUAGAACAAAACGAUCGGAGCGAGUAAAAAGAAGAGCCAAAAAGAAACAAACCAUAACAAAACCAAACAUGAAAUGUUAAAAAAAAAAGUAAAAAAAUUAAGGAAAUCGAGAUGAAACGCAACGUGAACCUGCAGACUGAUAGCGCUCAGAGUUGCCAAGAAAUCACGCUGGGAAUUUUAACUGACAGUAACAAAAGAGAUUCCUUUAAAUACCCCAACAACAACAACAGCAACGGUCGCUCGGACCAGAACCCCUCGGACCUCGGAUACCCGGGCGGACGACUCCUCCUAGUUGGCGUUUAGCGUUUCGGUCUUCGGCCCGGUUUGCCGUUCUUGUUUCGCCGUUGUGCUGUUGUUACUCCGGUGCCGGUUUAACGUUACUUAUCAUCAAUUUGCAUGCUGCGCCCAGAUUGUAAAUACCACCAAUCAAGAACGCUGGCACAGAUCGGAUUCCAGAAACAACCCCGGGAGGGGACUGAGCCCGACCUGCUACGGGACAAACUGGCCUUCACACCGUCCUCACGUAGAAUGACGACCUUGGAAUGUUACUGUUGUUGCUGUUGCACCAAUCAUAACCAUAACGUCGAGGCUGCAUGUUGCGCCGAAUUGCCCAGCGGCGAUGGCUCGAUGGCGCUUAUGUUAAUACUUCCUACGCUGCGUUGUUGGCGAUACUGCUGAGCUGCCACCUGAGAAAAAUUAGGCCUGAGUAAGGGGAAGGAUACAGGAAAGUUUUAUGAUCUUGCAAGGCAGGCCCAAGAUCAUCUCAUUCGGAAAUUAAUGUUCGAAAGUUGAACCAAAACAAAAAACGAGAGCAUCAACACCUAGAACUGCCUAGAUUGCCCUAGAGAACCUUCUACAGACUUCACGUACUAACGGUGAGCAGAUUGUAGAAACCUUGCUAGCUAAA